Molecule: ribosomal RNA, 430 nt
Filed under: Verrucomicrobiota bacterium
Lineage: Bacteria; Pseudomonadati; Verrucomicrobiota
Description: Verrucomicrobia bacterium partial 16S ribosomal RNA
Rfam family: Bacterial small subunit ribosomal RNA
Source: RNAcentral
UAGGGAAUCUUCGGCAAUGGGGGGAACCCUGACCGAGCAACGCCGCGUGAGUGAAGAAGGUUUUCGGAUCGUAAAGCUCUGUUGUUAAGGAAGAACGAGUGUGAGAAUGGAAAGUUCAUGCUGUGACGGUACUUAACCAGAAAGGGACGGCUAACUACGUGCCAGCAGCCGCGGUAAUACGUAGGUCCCGAACGUUGUCCGGAUUUAUUGGGCGUAAAGCGCGCGCAGGUGGUUUAGAAAGUCUGAUGUGAAAGCCCACGGCUCAACCGUGGAGGGUCAUUGGAAACUAAUAAACUUGAGUGCAGGAGAGAAAAGUGGAAUUCCUAGUGUAGCGGUGAAAUGCGUAGAGAUUAGGAGGAACACCGGUGGCGAAAGCGGCUUUUUGGCCUGCAACUGACACUGAGGCGCGAAAGCGUGGGGAGCAAACAGG